UACGAAGGGGGCUAGCGUUGCUCGGAAUUACUGGGCGUAAAGGGAGCGUAGGCGGAUAGUUUAGUCAGAGGUGAAAGCCCAGGGCUCAACCUUGGAAUUGCCUUUGAUACUGGCUAUCUUGAGUGUGGGAGAGGUGUGUGGAACUCCGAGUGUAGAGGUGAAAUUCGUAGAUAUUCGGAAGAACACCAGUGGCGAAGGCGACACACUGGCCCAAUACUGACGCUGAGGCUCGAAAGCGUGGGGAGCAAACAGG
Molecule: ribosomal RNA, 253 nt
Filed under: uncultured bacterium
Lineage: Bacteria
Description: partial 16S ribosomal RNA
Rfam family: Bacterial small subunit ribosomal RNA
Source: RNAcentral